GGAAACCCUGAUGCAGCAACGCCGCGUGAGGUAUGAAGGCCUUGGGUGUGUAAGCCUCUGUCCUAGGGGAAGAAAAAAAUGACGGUACCCGAGGAGGAAGCCCCGGCUAACUACGUGCCAGCAGCCGCGGUAAUACGUAGGGGGCAAGCGUUAUCCGGAAUUAUUGGGCGUAAAGAGUGCGUAGGUGGUCUACUAAGCGCGAGGUGAAAGGCAAUGGCUCAACCAUUGUUAGCCUUGCGAACUGGCAGACUUGAGUGCAAGAGAGGAAAGCGGAAUUCCUAGUGUAGCGGUGAAAUGCGCAGAUAUUAGGAGGAACACCGGCGGCGAAGGCGGCUUUCUGGAUUGUAACUGACACUGAGGCACGAAAGCGUGGGUAGCAAACAGGAUUAGAUACCCUGGUAGUCCACGCCGUAAACGAUGAGCACUAGGUGUCGGGACAUGAGUCUCGGUGCCGCAGUUAACGCAAUAAGUGCUCCGCCUGGGGAGUACGCACGCCAGUGUAAAACUCAAAGGAAUUGACGGGGACCGCACAAGCAGC
RNAcentral lists this ribosomal RNA (538 nucleotides) under [Eubacterium] saphenum. Its description in RNAcentral is "bacterial SSU rRNA". It matches the Rfam family "Bacterial small subunit ribosomal RNA", at positions 376 to 933 of the family's 1533-position model. Lineage: Bacteria; Bacillati; Bacillota; Clostridia; Peptostreptococcales; Anaerovoracaceae. The record is from RNAcentral.